AAGGCUAGGUGGGCCAGGCGACGGUUGUCCUGGUUCAAGUGCGUAGGCUUGAGAGUUAGGUAAAUCCGGCUCUCUCUAAGGCUGAGACACGACGUCGAGCUGCUACGGCAGUGAAGUCAUUGAUGCCAUGCUUCCAGGAAAAGCCUCUAAGCUUCAGAUAGUCAGGAAUCGUACCCCAAACCGACACAGGUGGUCGGGUAGAGAAUACCAAGGCGCUUGAGAGAACUCGGGUGAAGGAACUAGGCAAAAUGGUACCGUAACUU
RNAcentral lists this ribosomal RNA (263 nucleotides) under Vibrio cholerae. RNAcentral's name for it is "partial 23S ribosomal RNA". It matches the Rfam family "Bacterial large subunit ribosomal RNA", at positions 1478 to 1736 of the family's 2925-position model. Lineage: Bacteria; Pseudomonadati; Pseudomonadota; Gammaproteobacteria; Vibrionales; Vibrionaceae. The record is from RNAcentral.